UGGGGAAUCUUCCACAAUGGACGCAAGUCUGAUGGAGCAACGCCGCGUGAGUGAAGAAGGUCUUCGGAUCGUAAAACUCUGUUGUUAGAGAAGAACACGAGUGAGAGUAACUGUUCAUUCGAUGACGGUAUCUAACCAGCAAGUCACGGCUAACUACGUGCCAG
Molecule: ribosomal RNA, 164 nt
Filed under: uncultured bacterium
Lineage: Bacteria
Description: partial 16S rRNA
Rfam family: Bacterial small subunit ribosomal RNA
Source: RNAcentral